RNAcentral lists this ribosomal RNA (547 nucleotides) under uncultured bacterium. RNAcentral describes it as "bacterial SSU rRNA". It matches the Rfam family "Bacterial small subunit ribosomal RNA", at positions 355 to 896 of the family's 1533-position model. The record is from RNAcentral.
UGGGGAAUAUUGCGCAAUGGGGGGAACCCUGACGCAGCCAUGCCGCGUGAAUGAAGAAGGCCUUCGGGUUGUAAAGUUCUUUCGGUAUUGAGGAAGGUUGAUGUGUUAAUAGCACAUCAAAUUGACGUUAAAUACAGAAGAAGCACCGGCUAACUCCGUGCCAGCAGCCGCGGUAAUACGGAGGGUGCGAGCGUUAAUCGGAAUAACUGGGCGUAAAGGGCACGCAGGCGGUUAUUUAAGUGAGGUGUGAAAGCCCCGGGCUUAACCUGGGGAUUGCAUUUCAGACUGGGUAACUAGAGUACUUUAGGGAGGGGUAGAAUUCCACGUGUAGCGGUGAAAUGCGUAGAGAUGUGGAGGAAUACCGAAGGCGAAGGCAGCCCCUUGGGAAUGUACUGACGCUCAUGUGCGAAAGCGUGGGGAGCAAACAGGAUUAGAUACCCUGGUAGUCCACGCUGUAAACGCUGUCGAUUUGGGGGUUGGGGUUUAACUCUGGCGCCCGUAGCUAACGUGAUAAAUCGACCGCCUGGGGAGUACGGCCGCAAGGUUA